Ictalurus punctatus (channel catfish) is the source of this 2803-nucleotide long non-coding RNA. The record is from Ensembl. Lineage: Eukaryota; Metazoa; Chordata; Actinopteri; Siluriformes; Ictaluridae.
CCUGGGGUGGGGUUUGUUGUUGGCACAAAUUAUCAGGGUAUGUGACUUCAUCAACUGAAUAGAUUUGAAAUUUUAGUUACGCAAGUCAAACAUCUAUAACAGCAUCUUAUUAUGGAAGCGCAAAUCAGUCCGUGGUGCAUAACCAUUGGCUUUUUAAAGAGUUUGACAGAAGUCACACAAUCCUGGUCUUCAUUGUAAAUCCAUUAUCUAAAUCAUUUAACAUCAUGACAAAUGAUAUAGAAAUUAUAAUGAGCGUACUUUUUUUUUGUUUUGUUUUUGUUUGUUUGUUUGUUUCAUGCUUUUCCUCUUCUUCUUUUUUUCUGUUUUCGAAAUUGACCUCUCGUUGGUGUUUGUCGCUUCAUUUUGCAUCUCAACUAACAAUCUUGAUUCCUACUGCCGGUAAUACAUCAGCAGAAAAAAAUAUUCCAUAAUGUCAUCGUUAUCGUCCAUAAUGCCGUUAAAAAUAACCGAAGUUACUCAUUAUUGACACUAGAGGGCGCCAAACAGCCAAAUAUGGUGCCGCGUAUAUGCCGCUCCCUAUAACGUUGAAUUCGAGGCUUGCUUACCGGCUUUUACCACGAGAGAGCUGGUUGUGUUGGUUCCUGCUGUUGCGAUUGAGGAUGGCCUGUCUUCCAUGUCUGCUCGCCGCGUUUCUCUUUCUACUCGUGGGCUGCCGUCUAACAAGUGCACUCUUUUCAGACUGCUCUGUGGAACAUAACACCACCUGUGACAGCAUGGGCAAAGCUACUUUGGACACUAGUGCAUUUUAUGAGAAGUGUAUACACUGUAGUGACUGUGAUUGGAGUUUGAGGAGGAAGGACGACAGCUUUAUUGAAGAAAUAAAACCAUCUCUACAUGUAGCCAUCAACUGCAGCUUUCCUGAAAUUCUCCUGAAGGUGCACUGUUUUAGCCCAAAGUAUGAGUUUCGGGCUUGCUUCAAGUUUUUCAAUCAAACCAAGGGUGAAACCGGUACAGAAAGCAUUAAGGAAGCAUCUAACCAUCGAAUUCGGAACUUUGUGAUCAUACCUGUGGUACUGUUUCUGGUGGUACUAGUUGUUUUAGCCAUAAUGCGUAAACGGAAAAGAAUGAAUAAUGAUAUUUUAAGCUAAUCAGGCAUGACCAUUGCCAAGGAGUAUCCAGUUCUUAAACUACUAACACCAUCUCCAAAUGUGUCUGUCCAAUGCUCCUUGCCUGAAAUUCGCUUGAAGGUGCACUGUACCAGCCCAAAGAUUGCUCUGAGCUGCACAACAUCACCUGUGAUCGCAUGGGUAAUGCCAUGUUGAACACUAGUGAGAUUUACCUGAUGAGGAACGACUGCAUGUGGAGUUUUAGAGACACGGAGGAUAAAGUUCUUGAACUACUAACACCAUCUCCAAAUGUGUCUGUCCAAUGUACCUUGCAUGAAAUUCGCUUGAAGGUGCACUGUAUCACCCCAAAGUAUGAGUAUUGGGCUUGCUACAAUCUUACUAAUCAAACUAACAGUCAAACCGGUGCGCCAAGUCCUCAUGGAACAUCCAAGCAUAGAGUGCGUGAGUUGGUGAUCAUAGCUGUGGCUCUGUUUCUGAUGGCGCUGGUUGGUCUUGUCAUUGUUUCAAAAAAGGACAAAAAGGCUACUGUUAAAACAUACCUGGCCACUGCCCAGGGCAAUAAUUAAGAAGUUCCAGUCAACUGGAAAUGUUAUGAAUCAACCUGGAAGAGGACGCAUGUCUGUAUUGCCUCAAUGCACUGUGAAGAGGAUGGUCUGAAUGGCCAAAAAAUCUCCAAGGAUCACUGGAGAAUAUAUAUAUAUAUAUAUAUUCUCAAUACAAGCAAACAGCUGUAAUAGGGCUUGCUCAUAGUUCUGUGGUAGCACACUGUAGAAUGAACACAUACUAUCACACCACAGUCUGUUAUAAGGAUAUGAAGGAAUCUUUUUUUAUUGGAACUCCUUCAUUUCCUGUUCUGAUAUGAAUAUGAAAGAUUAAAAGAAUAAUAAUAAUAAUAAUAAUAAUAAUAAUAAUAAUAAUAAAUGUAAAAAAAUUUUUUAAAAAACAGCACUUGAGUUGUUUUUGUUGAGCUGUUACUAGCACACAGGUUGAGCCUCUCUAAACUCGAAGUAGCAGAUGACUCACUCACAGUCUGAGGAUGUUACACUCCUGUUUCACGCUGCCUGCAAGCCUUCAUUGUGUGUUUACAUAGCCUUGAAAAUAGGGUCAAAUCUGAUUAUGUCCUUUUGGGUAUACAGUACAGAGACAUUGUGAAAAAGUGUGAUGCUCUUGAAAGUUUAUUUUAGAAAGGGGGGAAAAAUGGGCAACAAGGUUGCCAGCUGUAUGUCAAAAUCUGGCAGAGCAACAGUGCACUUGAGGAACUGACACAAGCAAUAGAGGAAGUCAUGUGUUUUAAUAGAGGAAAAUUGUGUGCUUUAAUGGGUGUCUGAGAUAAAGAGCUUUGAGUGGGUGGAAGAGUAACCAGUGAAGGAAAUAAAUGAAUUAACUUGCAUUUACACUCACUGUGUCAGUACCUUAGCACAGGGGUUCCCAAACUUUUCCAGGGCAAGGCCCCCCAAAUGGCAUUAACAUUUCACUGAGGCCCCCCUUUUGCAAGAUGUCUUUAAAACACAGUGAAAAUACAGACUUCUGAAUAUAUCCCACUUUUUUAUUAAUAAUUACAUCUUACAUCUUUACAUUACAUUUGGAAUUGAUUGUGUGUGUGGUUGUCUGAGAUUGAGAAACAGAAAACAUACUAGUGGGAGGGAUGGGCACACCAAAUUAUUGAGGCCCCCCGGGUUCCCCCUGGCAGCCCCCAAGGGGACCGUGGCCUCCAC